Molecule: small nucleolar RNA, 88 nt
Organism: Andrographis paniculata
Lineage: Eukaryota; Viridiplantae; Streptophyta; Magnoliopsida; Lamiales; Acanthaceae
Product: small nucleolar RNA R38
Exons: 1
Source: RefSeq, a predicted model, not a curated record
GUUGUAGGGAUGAUGAUACUUUUAAUUUUUACAGUUAUCCCUGUCUGAUGGAUGAACUUGUGCUGAUACAUUAGUGUCUGACUCGAGC